AUGGCCGAUUCCACCGCGCACCCGCCGCCGGCGGUGGAUCAGCGAGUCCAGCGGCUGGCUACCCGCGCCUCCAUCGCAGUCGCCGCUGCGGCGACGCUCUUCCUCGUGUGCCUCGUCCGGCACGCCUCCACCUCCUGCUUCCCCGCGUCCCACACCAUCUCCCCCUCUCCCUUCCCCCGCGACUCCUGCGACGCCGCCUCCCGCCGCGUCCUCCCCCCGGACAGCCGGCUCGCUAAGCUCCGCUCAUCCUCUCGCUGGCGCCGCCGCUCCGCCGCGCUGGCUUCCUCAGUAUUCGCCCCGCUCCGUGGCCUCCGCCUCCUGGCCGGCUCCUCCCGCGUCCUCUGCCUCGCCGCCGGAGCCGGCAACGCCGUCGACGCACUCCACGCAGCGGGGGUAAGCGAAGUGACCGGGAUCGACCUCGUGGACUUCCCGCCGCUCGUCCGUCGCGCAGACCCCCAUCGCCUCCCAUUCUCUGACGGCGCCUUCGAUCUCAUCUUUUCCGACGACCCGGCGGGGAUCUCCGGCGCGCUCUUCCCGGCUCGCGUCGCCGCGUAG
Molecule: ribosomal RNA, 555 nt
Filed under: Triticum aestivum (bread wheat)
Lineage: Eukaryota; Viridiplantae; Streptophyta; Magnoliopsida; Poales; Poaceae
Description: partial small subunit ribosomal RNA
Source: RNAcentral